CAGCCGCCGCGGGAAUACGAAGGGUGCAAGCGUUAAUCGGAAUUACUGGGCGUAAAGCGUGCGUAGGCGGUGAGUUAAGUCUGCUGUGAAAGCCCUGGGCUCAACCCGGGAAUUGCGAUGGAUACUGGGCGACUAGAGUGCGGUAGAGGAUAGUGGAAUUUCCGGUGUAGCAGUGAAAUGCGUAGAGAUCGGAAGGAACAUCUGUGGCGAAGGCGACUAUCUGGGCCAACACUGACACUGAGACACGAAAGCGUGGGGAGCAAACAGGAUUAGAUACCCGCGUAGUCCCUGUCUCUUAUAC
RNAcentral lists this ribosomal RNA (301 nucleotides) under uncultured bacterium. Its description in RNAcentral is "partial 16S ribosomal RNA". It matches the Rfam family "Bacterial small subunit ribosomal RNA", at positions 509 to 807 of the family's 1533-position model. The record is from RNAcentral.